CCAGAUGGCUGGACGGCCGCGCUCUUUCGGGGGCGAGGAAAGUCCGGGCUCCACGGAAAAGCGGUGCCGGGUAACACCCGGCGGGGGCGACCCCAGGGACAGUGCCACAGAGAACAGACCGCCGCCGCCAGCAAUGCCGGCGGCAAGGGUGAAAAGGUGCGGUAAGAGCGCACCGCGCGCCUGGCAACAGGAGCGGCAUGGCAAACCCCACCGGGAGCAAGACCAAAUAGGGAUGGCGGCUUGCGCAAGCAGGCGAGGCUUUUUCCGGCCUGCCAUCCGGGUCGGUCGCGCGAGGCAUCCGGCAACGGAUGUCCCAGAGGAAUGGCCGUACAGCCCACGCAAGUGGGUGGACAGAACCCGGCUUACAGGCCGUCUGGCACC
RNAcentral lists this RNase P RNA (381 nucleotides) under Ferrovibrio sp. RNAcentral describes it as "RNase P RNA component class A". It matches the Rfam family "Bacterial RNase P class A". Rfam says of the family: Ribonuclease P (RNase P) is a ubiquitous endoribonuclease, found in archaea, bacteria and eukarya as well as chloroplasts and mitochondria. Its best characterised activity is the generation of mature 5'-ends of tRNAs by cleaving the 5'-leader elements of precursor-tRNAs. Lineage: Bacteria; Pseudomonadati; Pseudomonadota; Alphaproteobacteria; Rhodospirillales; Rhodospirillaceae. The record is from RNAcentral. RNAcentral also lists the same sequence under 1 other name.